This 504-nucleotide ribosomal RNA is filed under the name uncultured bacterium. RNAcentral's name for it is "partial 16S ribosomal RNA". It matches the Rfam family "Bacterial small subunit ribosomal RNA", at positions 28 to 523 of the family's 1533-position model. The record is from RNAcentral.
GAUGAACGCUAGCGGCAGGCCUAAUACAUGCAAGUCGAACGGGAUCUGAGGGUAGCUCGCUACCCGAUUUGAGAGUGGCGCACGGGUGCGUAACGCGUGAGCAACCUACCCAUAUCAGGGGGAUAGCCCGAAGAAAUUCGGAUUAACACCGCAUAAUAAUACGCUAACACAUGUUGAUGUAUUUAAAUAUUUAUAGGAUAUGGAUGGGCUCGCGUGACAUUAGCUAGUUGGUAAGGUAACGGCUUACCAAGGCGACGAUGUCUAGGGGCUCUGAGAGGAGAAUCCCCCACACUGGUACUGAGAAACGGACCAGAAUCCUACGGGAGGCAGCAGUAAGGAAUAUUGGUCAAUGGGCGCAAGCCUGAACCAGCCAUGCCGCGUGCAGGAUGACUGCCCUAUGGGUUGUAAACUGCUUUUGUUAGGGAAUAAACCUUCUUACGUGUAAGGAGCUGAAUGUGCCUAAAGAAUAAGGAUCGGCUAACUCCGUGCCAGCCGCCGCGGUAA